CCAAUUUAAUUCGUUAUAUUUAAUGCACUCUAUGUGUCAAUGUGGCUUUCCUAAUUAUUUAUAAUAGUUUCUGAAUUUUUAUAAUGAUUUCUAUUUUUCCCAAAAACUUUCAUAAAAAUUAUAACUAUGUCAAAAAAGAAGUAAAAUAAAUUAUUUGUGGGAGUUGACGUUGAAGGAGGAAAAAUGGAGGGAGAAGGUGGGCGGCACGACCUCGAGCCACAACGAAAGACAACGUUCCUUCGCUUUUUCCAAUUUGUUGAGUAGAGAAGACGAACAUGAAUAGAAUGAACCGGUACUGGAAGGUGAGUGUGUGCAACCAAUGGCAAUGAUGGGUAAUUUCUACCUAACUCCACAAGCAGUUAUGAAGCACCCUUUUAUGGAGCACCCCCUGAGGAGCUAAACAAAAAUAAUGAAUCUAGCCCCCAGAUUGACCAUUUUGAUAAAUCUAAAUUUAGUGGAUCUAGAGCAUUUGGGAAAUUUUUGGUGGAGUGGAGCUAUUUUUGGUGAACCUGGAGUUAGUGAAUCUCUAUCAAACAGGUCCAUCCAAGUAUAAGGACUGGUAGUUUCCCAAGGUCUGGUGUGCCAAUGGGCCAAUGCUCCCAACACUAGAUUUGCAGCAUGUAGAUGUAACCUCCA
RNAcentral lists this long non-coding RNA (636 nucleotides) under Sorghum bicolor (sorghum). RNAcentral describes it as "long non-coding RNA (SBIC_LNC007618)". The record is from RNAcentral. Lineage: Eukaryota; Viridiplantae; Streptophyta; Magnoliopsida; Poales; Poaceae.